Molecule: ribosomal RNA, 253 nt
Filed under: uncultured bacterium
Lineage: Bacteria
Description: partial 16S ribosomal RNA
Rfam family: Bacterial small subunit ribosomal RNA
Source: RNAcentral
UACGUAGGGGGCAAGCGUUGUCCGGAUUUAUUGGGCGUAAAGAGCGUGUAGGCGGCCUGACAGGUCUGCUGUGAAAACUCGAGGCUCAACCUCGAGAUGUCGGCGGAAACCGUCUGGCUAGAGUCCGGAAGAGGAGAGUGGAAUUCCUGGUGUAGCGGUGAAAUGCGCAGAUAUCAGGAAGAACACCAGUGGCGAAGGCGGCCGACUGGGCCGUUCCUGACGCUGAGACCCGAAAGCCAGGGGAGCGAACCGG